Oryctolagus cuniculus (rabbit) is the source of this 7540-nucleotide non-coding RNA. The record is from RefSeq and is a predicted model, not a curated record. NCBI's taxonomy places the organism in Eukaryota, Metazoa, Chordata, Mammalia, Lagomorpha, Leporidae.
UGAGUUAAAAGGGGUCUAGGAAAUGUUUAUCGGACUUCAAAUAUUGUGGAAACUGAACUUUGCAAUCCUCAACUCAAGAACUUUCUCGGCUAAGCUCAGACUCAGGAACAGCUCCAGAAGUAUUGCUAAUGAGUGCAAGGGAUGCUGUUCUCACAGGCUGUCUACUUCCAAAGGAGAUGGAGGGGGUGGGGAAGAAGCCACGGCCUCUCAUCUUUCUCAGGAAAACAAUCCAUUGAUUUUGGCCUAAGUCAAAUCAACAUAAUUAUGUCUCAAAAUGUUCUUGAAAACGCUUUGUAGCUACUCAGGAAAGAGAACAAAUGCCCCUUUGUUCCAAUUUUGGAAUGCAAGCUGAGUGCUUAGCCUCCUCUGCACACUGUACAGGGCAAACACAGGAAGCUUCCAUUGGAUUUUCCACUUAAAUGGUUUGGCAUAAACUCGCAUUAGGCAGGCUCCCGGACAGAAACCUGGAGCACUGUGCUUUUGGCCAACUACAGCCCAGAAGUCUGGAGCCAUAACCUUCAACCCCACUGCACUGCAGAGCGCUGUUGUGAGAAGAAUGGGAAAACACAGGGCCGCUGCCAUGUUGUCUACCACAUGCUUAAUUACGAAGUCCUCAUUUUGGUUCUGCAAUUAGGAAAAGCAAAACAUCCCCGACAAGAGGAACUAUGACAAAAGGUCAGUCCUGAGAAGUGAUUGAUGCAUUCCCAUAAGGAGAAGACUCUCAUUCCAAGCCUGGCUGUGGAUAAACACACUUGUCUCCCUCCCCAUGGUGGAAACACAGCUUUCUGCAGUCAGUGAAGUGGCACAACCUGGCCCAGGGCUCCCCUGGGGCUGUGGGGAAGGCAAACAGACGCCUGUGUGGCAGCUGCUGAGCAGAAGACAAGCCUCCAGGCAGGGCUGCAGCCAUUACGCUCCCAUUAGGAAGCUCAUCACUUGCUGUCAGAGUGUUUGGAACCAAUGACAGCUGUCAACUCUGCAAAUUCCUCAGCCAGAUCAAGAGGAGGAAGAACUAUAACCAAGAGAAACCACCUAGUGCCACUCUCUCUCUUCUGUGCCUGAGUUCCUGGUACUGACAAUGCCAAAGCAGGUAUUCCAGGCCACACAGUGAGGAAAAUGACUCUCUCCCUCCACGAUGCCUCUCCUCAACUGUAAAUCCAUAGUGACUAUAGUUUUCUAAUUUUGAACUCCAGAGUGCCAGCACAACCAAACUCAGUGACUGUAGAAGUUAAACAGGCUACAAGCUACCCCACAGAGUGCUAAAACUCUAUACAGAGAUCCUGUAUUCAGAAAUGAAAAGGAAGGUAAAGGGAGGAAUGCCUGAUCUUUCCUCCCAAAAAAUUUAGCUAAUGAAAUAAUGUGGCCUGACAGUCUCCUUUUGGCUCUUGUAGACAUCCUAUCCAGCCAGCAUGAUCUAAAUAAUUCAACAAACAUUAGGCACAUCCUAUGGUGAUUAGGCACAUUCUAUGGUGCGGCUUUAAAAGGUUGAUGCAAAACAGAAUUAAAUGAUAAAUGUAAGAUAAAUAUUUUAAUGCAGAAAUUUUGAAAUCCAUGCACAAUUUUUUCAGAAUAUUCAUUUCCUAUAAACUUUUAGAAAAUUUAUUUAUUUGAGAAGCAGAGUUACAGAUAGAAGGAGACACAAAGAGAAAGGUCUUCCAUCUGCUGGUUCACUCCCCAAAUGGCUGCAAUAGCCAGAGCUGGAAACCAGGAGCCAGGAGCUUCUUCUGAGUCUCCCAUGUGGGAGCAGGGGCCCAAGCAUCUGGGCCAUCUUCCACUGCUUUCCCAGGUCAUAAGCAUAGAACUACAUCGGAUGAGGAGCAGCCAGGACACAAACUGGUGCCCAUAUGGGAUGCUGGCACCACAGGCAGAGGCUUAGACUACUACACCACAGUACCAGUCCCUCUACAAACUUUUUGAAGACACUUCAUAUGCCUGGGUUUCUAUUUUUGUUUGCGCUGAAAUAAACAUAUCUUUUAAUUCCAUUCCCAUGAACUUUAUCAUGUUUCUCAUACAUGGUAAUCAAAUCUGAAUGAAAUAAAGAUACUUCCUCCACCAGUCAGCGUUCUUGGUUGCAAACAACAGACUUAAACUUCAAAGUGGUUUAUCAGAAGAAUACUACGUAGUUUGCAACUGCAAUGUGAUAGGCAAAGCCAGCCUCAGAAAAUGGACAGGCUCCAGACCCAAAGGCAAUAUUACAGCACAGGAGUGGUCUAGAUGGGACAAAAUUGACAUCACUGUUGCACGUUACAGGCCACUACUAACACAGAGCAAGCAUUCCCACUGGAGGAUGGCUCUUGCCACCACUAACACCAAAAGAAAUUCUCAAAGCCACUAGAUAUGGGUGUCAAUGCUCUAGAUUAAGAUUCCAGGUAGCAUCGUGCCAUCUGAUGAUGUAAGCCCUGGCCCAUGCCUUAUUGCUGGGAGCUAAAGAGGAUUUUUUUUCUAGGCUUUUGUGUCCUCAAUAGUCAAAAACAGGGUUUCCCACCAUAACUUACAUGACAAUGAAUUCUACUAGAGAAAAGGUGUUAAGAUGUUAAGACAGUAAAAGAAAAAACAGGAAAAUGUCUAUCAGGAGUUUUCCUAUGAAGCAGUAGUUGUAAAUGGAAACCAGAUUAUGUAUAGAUAUACAUAAAUAUAAAACCUGGGACUGGCGUUGUGGUGUAGCAACACUGGCAUCCCAUAUGGGUGCCGGUUUGUGUCCCUGCUGCUCCACUUCUGAUCCAGCUCCCUGCUGAUGGCCUGGUAAAAGCAGUGGAAGAUGGCCCCUGCCAUCCAUAUACAAGACCUGGAUGAAGCUCUUGGGUCCUGACUUCAGCCUGGCCUAGCACUGUCCAUUGCAGACAACUGGGGAGUGAAUGAGUGGAUGGAAGAUCUCUCUCUCCCUCUGAAAUUUUGAUUUUCAAAAUAAAUAUAUGAAUCUUUAAAAGCACAAAUAAAUAUAAAACCAACAAGUUAGGACAGAUGCUAUCAGGGAGGGGCUGGUAGUAGAUCUUUCCACCCCAAGAAAGGAAAUACUACUCUGGCUAAGGGUUAACGAAAAUCACAUUCAAAGAACUUUCAGCUGAAUCUUGAAUGAUAGAUGGAAUUUCUAAAGGUUGUAAAAGAUAAUCCAGGAAACAUCUCCUAUAAUGUGGGAAGACCCUCCCAAAUGCAAAAUGAAACUUCAUUGACUAGAGGAUUGGGAGAUUGGAUAGAUGGUUGUGAGAUGCUUUGAGCACUUCUUCUGCUAACUGUGUUUCCCAGUGAAUCAAGAGUUCUAAAGCAGAAUGAAUUCACAAGGCACUCAGAGAAAGUGAGAAGCAUCACCUUAUUUUUCAGUAUUCUCCAGGGCAACAAUAGAACAGGACACGUUACACCUCAUCAGGCUCAUCCUAACUUCAUUCAUAUCAUGAAUAAGAAAUCAGCCUCAUGCUAAUCCCUAGCCUUGAUGCUUUCUAACACGUGUUGUAAACUUGCUUCAGCACCAAAAAGGAUGUGCAGGCCAUAAAUACAGAUAGAACCACAUGCGGAAUGUUGACUUCUAAUUGAGUGUAGAAUAACUGCCUACAAUUAAUCAAACAACUAAAUUUAAUGAAUCAAUCAUCUCAUAUGGACUUAAGGAAGAUCUAUUAUAGAUUUUUUAUGUGAGGGAAGGAAAUACUGUCCAUAAUGUGCCUAGAUACCUAAAGUGACCACCAAUACUAAAAUCUAAAUUGACUUGCUUUUAUCAUAUUUUCAUACAAAAUUACUGCUGGAAUUUUCCAUAUGAAAAAAGAGAUAAAUAUACAAAUUUGAAAGUAGAAUUUUUUUUCCAUAGAAACAUAGACAUUCUAACAUCCUCGUCUAAAAGAACUAAAUGGCAAGCAGUCUGGAACAGUAGAUACACAAAGAUCAGUAGAGAGGUCUAAAAUGAGGAUCAGAGCAUCUAUGACUCAAGGGAAUUGUGGGAAUUAUCUUCAAAUAUUUGAAGGACUACAAGGGAAAAUUGGCAAAAAUUAAAGUAAUCCUGUGGAUUCAUCUCCAGAGAAAAGUGGAGCUAGUAAGAUUGUUCACUCAGAAGUUGGAUAACAACCAGGUGUUACAACAGUGAUUGCUGAAGUCUCACAUUUCUAAGAUGAAAUGGGCAGCUGGGAUGACUAAAUAUUGAUUCAUCUAAAUCUCCUUGAGGUCAAUAUCAGAACAUUUAUAUAAAUAAUUUUGGAAAAAUGAAUGUUAUUGACUCAGCAAAUGAACAAUUUCUGCAUAAAGAUUAGAUUAAGAGAGAGUAAGUGCUUGGUUUCUUUAACUUUGAGUAAGUGAUUCUCACCAAAGUCUCACCACAGCUUAAAAGAGUCUAUGCUAUUGGCCAUCUGAUUACCCCUUGAUGUCAGAAUAAAGACAUUUCUGUGCAUAAUUUCUGAAAAAAUAAAUUACUUCUUAAAUAAGCAAUUCUUCCAUAAAGGUGAAUUCAAGGUCUUGUGUUCUCUUGUCAAGCCCUGAAUGGCAUUAACUGCCCUCACCUUUAGGCUUUCUGAUUAUCUCUUCUCUUCAUUUUCAAUUUUAAAAAGUUUAUAUAUUUGCAAGGCACACAGAAAGAGACAAAGUCAGACAAACAAGGAGAAAUUUUCCAUCUGCUGGUUCACUCCUGGCCUCCAGUAUGGAGCCAGGAGCCUAGAACUCCAUCAGGUUACCCAUAUGCAUAGUCAGGAUCCAUUCCCAUUGCUUCCCAGGCUGGGUAUUAGCAGGAAGUUAGAAUCAGAAGCAGAGCCAGGACUCGAACCCAGACACUCUGGUAUUGGAUGCAGGUGUUAUAUGUGGGGUCUUAACCCCUAGGCCUAACUCUUGCCCCUCUCUGGACUUCUGUUCUACCACCUUCUCUCGGUCUCUCUGCCAUGAACAUACUGGCUGCUUCAGAUAUGCCUGCAAGAUGACUGUAAAAUAUAUUUGUGCUACAUUGCACAUCAACAAAAAUUAUCAUGCAGGUGAAAAGAAGAAAGAAAAAAACUAUUAAACACAAGCAGAAAAACUAACAUGAUAUUUAAUGGGAAAAGUAUAACCUUAAAUUAGAAAACAGAGGUGUUGAAAGUUAAAGGUCUAAAUGUCUAUUUUAAGAAAUAAGGAGAUGGAAAGAAAGAAGGAGAGGGAGAUAUCGAGAUGGUCCAUCCAUUGGUUCACUCCCCAAUUGGCUGCAAUGGCCAGGGUUGGGGUAAGUGGAUGCUAAAAACCCAGAACUCCCUCCAGGUCCCCCUCAUGGGUGGCAGCACCCCAAGCACUAGGACCAUCUUCUUCUGCUUUCCCAGGCACAUUAGCAGUGUGUUGGAUCAGAAGCGAAGCAGCAAGGACUCGAACUGUAUUCCAUAGGGGAUGCCAGCAUCACAGGCAAUGGCUUAACCUUCUUUGCCAAAAUGCCAGCCCCAGAACUCAAUAUUAAAGAGAUUCCCUCAACCUUUUGCAGUCAAUUUCCAUACUCAAAUACCCACCCAAGAAAUCAGCGAUCUGCUUUUUAUCAAGAUAACUUUUUUUCUAAAAUUUUGUAUAAAUGGAAUCAUAUAGCAUAUAGACAAAUAUGUUUCAUUUCUUUCAUUUGGCAUGAUGUUUUUAGAAUUUGUCCAUCACGUUGUGGGGUAGUAGUUUAAUACUAAGUAGUAUUCUAUGGUAUGAAUAUACUAUUCAUUCACACAUUCACCAUUUAAUGAGUAUUUCAGUUGUUUCCAAGUUGUAGCUUUAAUGAAUAAAGCUGCAGUGAGCACAUAAGUACAUACAAGUAUUUGUGUGGACAAACAUUUUUGCUUGAAAUAUAUGCUUAACUACAUGAAAUGACAAAUAGAUUUUCAGAUGAGAUGUAUUGUUUUUCAUUAUCACCAGCAAUAUAGGAGAAUUCCAGUUGCUCCACAUUCUUGUUAUCAUCUAAUAUUGCCCAUCUUUUUAAUUUUAACUAUUCUAAUAAGUGUGCAAUGAUGUCCCUUUGUAAUUUCAAUUGGGAUUUUCCUGAUAUUCAAUGGUAUUGGGUAUCUUUUAAUGUAUUUAAUAGCUCUUCAUUUUUCUUCUUUGACAAAGUGUCAAUUGGGAGAUUUUAGCUAUUGGGUAAAAAUAUUCUUAUGGUUGAGGUUUUGAAUUCAUUACAUAUCUAGAUACAGGCACUUUAGCAGACAAUGAUUGGCAAAUGAUCCCUCUUGUCUGUGACAUCUCUUUUCAUUUUCAUAUUUGUGUCUUUGAAAGAACAAUUUAUAAAUUUUUGAUAAGGGUUAUUUUAUUAAUUUUUUCUUUCAUGAUUCAUGUCCUAUUUAAAAUAACAUCUGUAACUAACUGUCACAAAUAUUUUUUUCAUGUUUUCUUUCAGAAGCUUUCUAGGUUCUUAUGUUGGGUCUAUGAUCUAUUCAGAGUCAAUUUCUGUACAUGGUGUGAAAUAUUUCACAGUUGGACCACUGUCAGGCUUUAUUAUUAUAGUUAUUUCAUCACCAGUUGUUAAGAAACAUAAAACCACAUGUCCAUCAACAACUGGAGAAGAACUCUAAUAUAACUGUACAAUUGUAUGCUAUUCAACAAAAAAUGGAAAUAAACCAUUGGUACAUGCAGCAACAUAGGUGAAAUUCAAAAUCAUUAUCUGAACUGAAAGAAUUCAAAUGCCAUAUAUUACAUGCUUUACAACUGUAAUUAUUUCAGCGUUUAGGAAAUUCUAAACUAAGUGGAAGAAAUCAAAUCUGGGGGUAAGAGGAAGCAAAUACUGAAGACAGUCAUAGGAAAGCAUUCUGGUGAGUGAUGGCAUGACUCUGUAUCCUGAAUGUGGCAGUAGUUUGCAGAACAUACCUUUGUCAAACACAUUGAAUUCUACUUAGAUUGUGGAUUCAGUUUAUUAAACAUAAAUUAUUUCUCAACAAAAUGUGUUUUAAAAUGAAGCAACUGAGCAUUGUGCCAAGAUUUGUGAACAUCAACUCUUCUCUCAGGUGCAUGUCUUUAGAAGAUUAUUUCACAGGUAGCCAAGUGGAUUGACAGGGAGGCCAUGGGAAAAUCCAUAGAGUGCAAAUAUUGACUCUGGAUAAAACAGUCUAAGCUCAGUUUUCAAGCAAAAUGUAAACAGUGAAAGGAGAUGUCUGAAAACUAUUUAGCAUAAAAUCAAGAAGAAAAUUUCACAAAAUGGCCUGCCAUUCACCAUAAGAGGGGAUCUUGAUUUGCCAUUAAGAAAUAGGAACAUAAAGGAAAAACAUAGAACACAGGACAAAAUUACAAAAUAAAAGAUAAGAAUAUAUGGAUAAGAAAUAGAAUUAUUAUAAGUGAAAUAAAAUGGGAGAGCAUAAUUAAAAUCCAAUAAGGAGUAAAUUUUAAAAUAUCAGACAUUGAAAACAACUUUGAGAAAUUCUGUGACAAUGGAGAGAAAAAAAAGAUGGAAAAUAUAAAAGGAGAAAGGAGUAAAUAUAGAGACCUAAUCUAAGAGAAACAUACUUUUUUAAUGAAAGAAUGCUUAAUAAUGGGACUGUGACAAAGAUUUUUUUUUUGCUUUCAAACUUUUAUUUAAUGAAUAUAAAUUUCCAAAGUACAGCUUAUGGAUUACAAUGGCUUCCCGCCCCCCCAUAACGUCCCUCCCACC